UCUGGGAAAGAGAGAAUGGGAGCCUCCCGCUGCAGUUCCAAGCCGAGGAGGAGCGGAACGGAAGCCAACGAGGCGCUCCGCCUCUUUCCCGGCGUGGGACACCCGCGCGCCCCCAGACGCCGCUGUCCCCCGCCUGUGCCGGCGCGCCUGCUUGAGGAAAGAGCGCCAGGUAACAUCCCCAGGGCUAGUAAGGUGACUGACUGCCUCCCUGGAGAGCCUCCCUGGGUCACCGGUAGGGGCUCGAACUAGGUAUUUCGCCGUUGGUAAGAACUUGAGGAACAAAAGGCUUGUGGUGAUGGCUACCUUCUGCUGGCAGGAGUUUUGAAUCUUGGGAAGCUGCCAGACAGGAAGAUGGUGAUUGGGGCCGUCGCUGCAUUUGUUCCUGGAAAGCCUGCACCUGUCUAACCCUUGGCAGGCCCAAGGUGGCUGUCGCCCAGCACAUAUGGCACAGGGCUCACUGACAAAAAUGCUUUGCGUUUUAAGCACCUUUGCCACCGUGGGGGUAGGCAAUGUGCCACAGACACCACCCUUGGCGCCACGAGGCUCUCUGCUGCCUCUGAUUUAUUAUUUUUAGAUUCUUCUAAUUAGGAAUAAAAUAAUAGGAAGCAGGUAUGCUGCAAA
Long non-coding RNA from Pantherophis guttatus, 621 nucleotides. RefSeq lists it as uncharacterized. The record is from RefSeq and is a predicted model, not a curated record. NCBI's taxonomy places the organism in Eukaryota, Metazoa, Chordata, Lepidosauria, Squamata, Colubridae.